UACGGAGGGUGCAAGCGUUGUCCGGAAUCACUAGGCGUAAAGGGCGCGUAGGCGGCUCAUGAAGGCUGUGGUGAAAGUCCGGGGCUCAACCUCGGAUCGGCCGUGGCGACUCGUGGGCUGGAGCACUGUAGAGGCGGGUGGAAUUCCGGGUGUAGCGGUGGAAUGCGUAGAGAUCCGGAAGAACACCGGUGGCGAAGGCGGCCUGCUGGGCAGUUGCUGACACUGAGGCGCGACAGCGUGGGGAGCAAACAGG
This 253-nucleotide ribosomal RNA is filed under the name uncultured bacterium. RNAcentral describes it as "partial 16S ribosomal RNA". It matches the Rfam family "Bacterial small subunit ribosomal RNA", at positions 524 to 776 of the family's 1533-position model. The record is from RNAcentral.